RNAcentral lists this ribosomal RNA (111 nucleotides) under Triticum dicoccoides. RNAcentral's name for it is "rRNA 5_8S_rRNA". It matches the Rfam family "5.8S ribosomal RNA", at positions 40 to 147 of the family's 154-position model. From Rfam's summary of the family: 5.8S ribosomal RNA (5.8S rRNA) is a component of the large subunit of the eukaryotic ribosome. It is transcribed by RNA polymerase I as part of the 45S precursor that also contains 18S and 28S rRNA. Lineage: Eukaryota; Viridiplantae; Streptophyta; Magnoliopsida; Poales; Poaceae. The record is from RNAcentral.
UGACACGUAGCGAAAUGCGAUACCUAGUGUGAAUUGCAGAAUCCCGCGAACCAUCGAGUCUUUGAACGCAAGUUGCGCCCGAGGCCACUCGGCCGAGGGCACGCCUACCUG